CGCCCAACAGCUAGCCCACCUAUCAACCCCAAACCCUCCCUAUUUAUAUCCCCAAAUGCAUAUCCUCUCUACAACAAACCAUUUUUCCACCUAAGUACGGGCGACGAAAAAGAACCUAGGAGCAACAGAAAAAGUACCGCAAGGGAAAGCUGAAAGAGUAAUGAAAUAACCCAGUUAAGCACUAAAAAGCAGAGACCACCCCUCGUACCUUUUGCAUCAUGAUUUAGCCAGAAAACCUCAGGCAAAAAGAAUUGUAGUUUGAUACCCCGAAACUAAGCGAGCUACUCCAAGACAGUCUAAUUUAUAGGACCACCCCGUCUCUGUGGCAAAAGAGUGGGAAGAACUUCGAGUAGAGGUGACAGACCUACCGAGCCUAGUUAUAGCUGGUUGCCUGAGAACUGAAUAGAAGUUCAGCCCUUUAAAUUCUUCAUUCCUAUAGACCCUAGGCCUUUACACCGAACAAAAGAAGUUAAAGGAGUUAGUCAAAGGGGGUACAGCCCCUUUGAAACAAGAUACAACUUUCCAAGGAGGGUAAAAAUCACAAUGAACUUAAAGGCCAAAUGUUCUAGUGGGCCUAAAAGCAGCCACCUACCAGAAAGCGUUAAAGCUCGAACAUUACCUAACCAGCCUUCUAAUAAAGACAACCCAAUUUCACCCCCCUAAACCUACCAGGCCGUUCCAUAAGAUUAUGGAAGCGUUUAUGCUAACAUGAGUAAUAAGAGGAACCCCUCCUCUCCCCGCACAAGUGUAACUCGGAACGAACCCUUCACCGACCAUUAACGGCCCCAAAACAAAGAGGGCCCUAGGCAAAAACAAACAACUAGAAAAACCCCUAGUUCCUCACCGUUAACCCCCCACUGGUGUGCAAGCCGGGAAAGACUAAAAGAAAAAGAAGGAACUCGGCAAACACAAGCCUCGCCUGUUUACCAAAAACAUCCGCCUCUUGAACCCCUGGGUAUAAGAGGUCCCGCCUGCCCUGUGACUAUAA
This 988-nucleotide ribosomal RNA is filed under the name Cyprichromis leptosoma. RNAcentral describes it as "partial 16S ribosomal RNA". The stretch from base 187 to 988 matches the Rfam family "Bacterial large subunit ribosomal RNA", at positions 568 to 1875 of the family's 2925-position model. The record is from RNAcentral. Lineage: Eukaryota; Metazoa; Chordata; Actinopteri; Cichliformes; Cichlidae.